AGUGAACGCUGGCGGUAGGCCUAACACAUGCAAGUCGAACGGCAGCACAGGAGAGCUUGCUCUCUGGGUGGCGAGUGGCGGACGGGUGAGGAAUACAUCGGAAUCUACUCUGUCGUGGGGGAUAACGUAGGGAAACUUACGCUAAUACCGCAUACGACCUACGGGUGAAAGCAGGGGACCUUCGGGCCUUGUGCGAUCGAAUGAGCCGAUGUCGGAUUAGCUAGUUGGCGGGGCAAAGGCCCACCAAGGCGACGAUCCGUAGCUGGUCUGAGAGGAUGAUCAGCCACACUGGAACUGAGACACGGUCCAGACUCCUACGGGAGGCAGCAGUGGGGAAUAUUGGACAAUGGGCGCAAGCCUGAUCCAGCCAUACCGCGUGGGUGAAGAAGGCCUUCGGGUUGUAAAGCCCUUUUGUUGGGAAGGAAAUCCAGCUGGCUAAUACCCGGUUGGGAUGACGGUACCCAAAGAAUAAGCACCGGCUAACUUCGUGCCAGCCGCCGCCGUAA
This 506-nucleotide ribosomal RNA is filed under the name uncultured bacterium. RNAcentral's name for it is "partial 16S ribosomal RNA". It matches the Rfam family "Bacterial small subunit ribosomal RNA", at positions 29 to 523 of the family's 1533-position model. The record is from RNAcentral.